ACGUGAUUUAUCAUGGCCGCGCCCUUUAAAUUUGCUGCUAGUUUGUUUAUCCAUUGAAAAAGUAAUAUGUAAGGGCCAUUUGCUUCUUUUUUGGAGUGUUCACAUGAUGAACAUGGAGGAAAGAGACUCGGGACACGAAAGUUGUGUUUCCAGUUCUUCCGACGAUUCUAUGUCAGAUGGAGAUUAUGUGGUUCAGCAGCCAGCAGCAGUCUCACCUGCCCUUUCUGAAGAACAGCCUAAGUUUGACUUUACCAGUUGGAGUCCAGAUGCACCAGCAGGUCUCCAGUGGUUGAGUUUACUCCCCAUGGACGCAGACUAUGGCUCUCAAAAAGAACAUGUUGGUAGGAUCAGGGUAUCUGCCACACACAGGAAAGCAAGGAUGAAGCGAUUUGCUUCAGGGCAGACAGUUGCAAAAAAUAAAUUAGAUGAGAGAAGGCUUCGAAAUGCAGUGAAUGAUAAUGAUUAUUAUGCAGCAUUUCAGCUUCUAGAUGGUGGUGUGGACCCAUGCAAUUCAGAUGAAAAGAAAAGAAGUCCUCUGCACUUUGCUGCCUGCAAAGGAAAUGAACGUAUUGCAAGUUUGUUGUUAGAUUAUGGUGCUGAUCCAAACCAAAGAGAUGUACUUGGGAAUACUGCUCUGCAUUUAGCUGCAUGCACAAACAACAUCAAGAUGGUGACUGUCCUGCUUUCUGCAGGCACUGAUGUAGCAGCAUUAGAUAACUCAGGUAGGACUCCUCUUCACUUGGCUGUAUCCAGACUGAGUCUUCUGCAGAGGACCACUUCUUACAGCAGCGAGCAACUCAAGUGUGAGGUCUUUGAGGUGAUGAAUAUGAUGAAGACCUACUUGAGUCUGAAAGGAAGUGAUACACAACGAGUUCAAGAACUUGAUGACUUGUGCAGUAGAUUAGAACGGACUUCUACCAAAGAGGAAGUAGAUGAAGUGAACAGUUUGCUAACAAAUUUAACCAACUUAAGCAUCCAAAAACAGGAGCAGCCUGGUUGACAGAUGACAAGUGACAUCUAUCAUGUUGUCAUUUAUGUAUCAAGCAGGUGGUGUUUGAACGGUCGCCCCAAUAGGACUCGAGCUACAAGCUUGACCUCUGAUGUGUCACACAUUUGUCUCUAGAGACCAAUGGUACAGGUGACACAUUGAGAUUCAAAAGCAGGAACCUGGUUGGACAAGAGAGGAACAAGACGAAGAUGUGCUUUAUGGGCAAAUCAAGGAUUCCAAUUUUCCCCCAUUAUAAAUAUGAAGGAAAUGGAAAUCUAUCUUGAUUAAUUCUGGCAUCUUUUGUCAUAUUAUGUCCUCAAUGUAGGUAAUAUGCAGUAAGAACAAAAAGACGGACCCCAAUUCCCAUUAUAUCUGCCCAAGAAACUGUGGUCUGAUAGUCCCCAUAAAUGGAAUCAGGCAUUGAUGCAUAAUGAUGGUUCCAAUAAGUUACAUUGAGCCGUUUAUAGUAUGCCUAUGUUUUCACCUUAUUUAAUAUCUGUCACGCUUUAAAGGGACUGGUGUGUUAAAUAUGUUGGUUGAUAGUGUAUGCAUGGUUGAAUUCAGAGAGCAUUUAAAAUGGGAUUUUUAACUUGUUUGGAGAGUUACAGAAUUAAUUCUACAACAUCAGUGACUUUGAAUGCAAUUUUGAUACUGGUAUUACUUAGAAAUGCUUUUGCAGACUAGGUUAAUAAAGAAAUUAGUGCUGUACUCUUGCCAGUGGUGAUAAAAUGGGUUGUGUAAGUACAGGAAAGACUAUUAAAUUUGAAUUAAAACAUUUGACUGAAUAUUUACCAGUUAACAGUUGCGACAUUAACCACUGGGCCUACGCCAUGGCUAGUACAAAUUUGUUUGGACCAGUAGAAUUUUCAGAAUGUGUGAAUUUAGUGAUCUGACAUGACCAUUAGAUAUGUUUUUAUAACUUUUAAAAAGAGCUUUCAAUUUGGUUUAAUUUUUCCUGAGAUCCUCAAUUAAAAAAACAUUUGACA
Molecule: unclassified non-coding RNA, 1974 nt
Filed under: Lingula anatina
Lineage: Eukaryota; Metazoa; Brachiopoda; Lingulata; Lingulida; Lingulidae
Description: ankyrin repeat domain-containing protein 54, transcript variant X2
Source: RNAcentral